GGUCCCCCGGUGUCCAGACACGACCAGCCGUCUUGAAAACAUUGCUUUCAGGCACAUUCCCAUAAUUAAAACGAGGAUCCACAUCAGAUGGGGCUUGUAUUAAGCGCUUGCGGCCGUUUAUAGGGUUCCACACAAAGACUUGAUGCCAUGUUGAAUCAACAAGGAGGACAUGGCCGUGGCGGCAGCCAAGGACAUUCCAGUAAAGAUCAGGUAGAGAGAAAGAUGCUGCAGCAACACGGUUAGGAGGAUCCCCAGCAGGGAGAAAUCGAGGGAUGCGAGUGGAGUUGGUGAAA
This 293-nucleotide long non-coding RNA is filed under the name Sorghum bicolor (sorghum). RNAcentral describes it as "long non-coding RNA (SBIC_LNC008064)". Lineage: Eukaryota; Viridiplantae; Streptophyta; Magnoliopsida; Poales; Poaceae. The record is from RNAcentral.